Molecule: ribosomal RNA, 2905 nt
Rfam family: Bacterial large subunit ribosomal RNA
UUAAGCGACUAAGCGUACACGGUGGAUGCCCUGGCAGUCAGAGGCGAUGAAGGGCGUGCUAAUCUGCGAUAAGCGCCGGUAAGGUGAUAUGAACCGUUAUAACCGGCGAUACCCGAAUGGGGAAACCCAGUGUGAUUCGUCACACUAUCAUUAACUGAAUCCAUAGGUUAAUGAGGCGAACCGGGGGAACUGAAACAUCUAAGUACCCCGAGGAAAAGAAAUCAACCGAGAUUCCCCCAGUAGCGGCGAGCGAACGGGGAGGAGCCCAGAGCCUGAAUCAGCAUGUGUGUUAGUGGAAGCGUCUGGAAAGGCGCGCGAUACAGGGUGACAGCCCCGUACACAAAAGCGCAUGUGCUGUGAGCUCGAUGAGUAGGGCGGGACACGUGGUAUCCUGUCUGAAUAUGGGGGGACCAUCCUCCAAGGCUAAAUACUCCUGACUGACCGAUAGUGAACCAGUACCGUGAGGGAAAGGCGAAAAGAACCCCGGCGAGGGGAGUGAAAAAGAACCUGAAACCGUGUACGUACAAGCAGUGGGAGCACAGGUUUACCUGUGUGACUGCGUACCUUUUGUAUAAUGGGUCAGCGACUUAUAUUCUGUAGCAAGGUUAACCGUAUAGGGGAGCCGUAGGGAAACCGAGUCUUAACCGGGCGUUAAGUUGCAGGGUAUAGACCCGAAACCCGGUGAUCUAGCCAUGGGCAGGUUGAAGGUUGGGUAACACUAACUGGAGGACCGAACCGACUAAUGUUGAAAAAUUAGCGGAUGACCUGUGGCUGGGGGUGAAAGGCCAAUCAAACCGGGAGAUAGCUGGUUCUCCCCGAAAGCUAUUUAGGUAGCGCCUCGUGAAUUCAUCUCCGGGGGUAGAGCACUGUUUCGGCUAGGGGGCCAUCCCGGCUUACCAACCCGAUGCAAACUGCGAAUACCGGAGAAUGUUAUCACGGGAGACACACGGCGGGUGCUAACGUCCGUCGUGAAGAGGGAAACAACCCAGACCGCCAGCUAAGGUCCCAAAGUCAUGGUUAAGUGGGAAACGAUGUGGGAAGGCCCAGACAGCCAGGAUGUUGGCUUAGAAGCAGCCAUCAUUUAAAGAAAGCGUAAUAGCUCACUGGUCGAGUCGGCCUGCGCGGAAGAUGUAACGGGGCUAAACCAUGCACCGAAGCUGCGGCAGCGACACUGUGUGUUGUUGGGUAGGGGAGCGUUCUGUAAGCCUGUGAAGGUGGCCUGUGAGGGUUGCUGGAGGUAUCAGAAGUGCGAAUGCUGACAUAAGUAACGAUAAAGCGGGUGAAAAGCCCGCUCGCCGGAAGACCAAGGGUUCCUGUCCAACGUUAAUCGGGGCAGGGUGAGUCGACCCCUAAGGCGAGGCCGAAAGGCGUAGUCGAUGGGAAACGGGUUAAUAUUCCCGUACUUGGUGUUACUGCGAAGGGGGGACGGAGAAGGCUAUGUUGGCCGGGCGACGGUUGUCCCGGUUUAAGCGUGUAGGUGUGUGUUCCAGGUAAAUCCGGUUCACUUUAACACUGAGGCGUGACGACGAGGCACUACGGUGCUGAAGCAACAAAUGCCCUGCUUCCAGGAAAAGCCUCUAAGCAUCAGGUAACAUCAAAUCGUACCCCAAACCGACACAGGUGGUCAGGUAGAGAAUACCAAGGCGCUUGAGAGAACUCGGGUGAAGGAACUAGGCAAAAUGGUGCCGUAACUUCGGGAGAAGGCACGCUGACACGUAGGUGAAGUGAUUUACUCAUGGAGCUGAAGUCAGUCGAAGAUACCAGCUGGCUGCAACUGUUUAUUAAAAACACAGCACUGUGCAAACACGAAAGUGGACGUAUACGGUGUGACGCCUGCCCGGUGCCGGAAGGUUAAUUGAUGGGGUCAGCGCAAGCGAAGCUCCUGAUCGAAGCCCCGGUAAACGGCGGCCGUAACUAUAACGGUCCUAAGGUAGCGAAAUUCCUUGUCGGGUAAGUUCCGACCUGCACGAAUGGCGUAAUGAUGGCCAGGCUGUCUCCACCCGAGACUCAGUGAAAUUGAACUCGCUGUGAAGAUGCAGUGUACCCGCGGCAAGACGGAAAGACCCCGUGAACCUUUACUAUAGCUUGACACUGAACAUUGAGCCUUGAUGUGUAGGAUAGGUGGGAGGCUUUGAAGUGUGGACGCCAGUCUGCAUGGAGCCGACCUUGAAAUACCACCCUUUAAUGUUUGAUGUUCUAACGUGGACCCGUAAUCCGGGUUGCGGACAGUGUCUGGUGGGUAGUUUGACUGGGGCGGUCUCCUCCUAAAGAGUAACGGAGGAGCACGAAGGUUGGCUAAUCCUGGUCGGACAUCAGGAGGUUAGUGCAAUGGCAUAAGCCAGCUUGACUGCGAGCGUGACGGCGCGAGCAGGUGCGAAAGCAGGUCAUAGUGAUCCGGUGGUUCUGAAUGGAAGGGCCAUCGCUCAACGGAUAAAAGGUACUCCGGGGAUAACAGGCUGAUACCGCCCAAGAGUUCAUAUCGACGGCGGUGUUUGGCACCUCGAUGUCGGCUCAUCACAUCCUGGGGCUGAAGUAGGUCCCAAGGGUAUGGCUGUUCGCCAUUUAAAGUGGUACGCGAGCUGGGUUUAGAACGUCGUGAGACAGUUCGGUCCCUAUCUGCCGUGGGCGCUGGAGAACUGAGGGGGGCUGCUCCUAGUACGAGAGGACCGGAGUGGACGCAUCACUGGUGUUCGGGUUGUCAUGCCAAUGGCACUGCCCGGUAGCUAAAUGCGGAAGAGAUAAGUGCUGAAAGCAUCUAAGCACGAAACUUGCCCCGAGAUGAGUUCUCCCUGAGACUUAGAGUCUCCUGAAGGAACGUUGAAGACGACGACGUUGAUAGGCCGGGUGUGUAAGCGCAGCGAUGCGUUGAGCUAACCGGUACUAAUGAACCGUGAGGCUUAACCUU